This 69-nucleotide ribosomal RNA is filed under the name Clostridioides difficile. Its description in RNAcentral is "partial 16S ribosomal RNA". It matches the Rfam family "Bacterial small subunit ribosomal RNA", at positions 1 to 67 of the family's 1533-position model. Lineage: Bacteria; Bacillati; Bacillota; Clostridia; Peptostreptococcales; Peptostreptococcaceae. The record is from RNAcentral.
UUUUAUUUGAGAGUUUGAUCCUGGCUCAGGAUGAACGCUGGCGGCGUGCAUAACACAUGCAAGUUGAGC